This 253-nucleotide ribosomal RNA is filed under the name uncultured bacterium. Its description in RNAcentral is "partial 16S ribosomal RNA". It matches the Rfam family "Bacterial small subunit ribosomal RNA", at positions 524 to 776 of the family's 1533-position model. The record is from RNAcentral.
UACGUAGGGGGCCAGCGUUGCUCGGAAUAACUGGGCGUAAAGGGUUCGUAGGCGGUGCGGCAAGUUGGGAGUGAAAUCUCUGGUCUUAACUCAGAGACUGCUUUCAAAACUGCCGUGCUAGAGUGCGGGAGAGGCCAGUGGAAUUGCAGGUGUAGCGGUGAAAUGCGUAGAUAUCUGCAGGAACACCCGUGGCGAAGGCGGCUGGCUGGGCCGCAACUGACGCUGAGGAACGAAAGCUAGGGGAGCAAACAGG